RNAcentral lists this ribosomal RNA (1527 nucleotides) under Triticum aestivum (bread wheat). RNAcentral describes it as "partial small subunit ribosomal RNA". The record is from RNAcentral. Lineage: Eukaryota; Viridiplantae; Streptophyta; Magnoliopsida; Poales; Poaceae.
AUGGAAGGGUGGUUUAGCUGGUGUUUCAUUGGCGUAUCCACGAUACUAGCCCUCUGGUUUCUCAAGUUCUUAGGCGGCAAGAGCAACCCCAAGAAGAAGCAACUGCCUCCUGGGCCAUGGACUCUUCCUAUCAUCGGCAGCCUCCACCACGUUGUUAGUGUCCUCCCACACCGCAGGAUGAGUAAGAUGUCUCGCCGGCAUGGGCCAUUGAUGCACCUCAGGCUAGGCGAGGUCCCAGCAGUGAUCGUCUCCAGCGCCGAGGCGGCGGCACAGGUGAUGAAGACUAACGACCUCGCCUUCGCAAGUCGGCCGCAAGGCCCGUUGCAGGAUAUCGUCGGUUGUGGCGGCAGGGGCAUCGUCUUCGGCUCCUACGGGGACCGGUGGCGCCAGAUGCGCAAGAUCUGCGUCGUGGAACUCCUCAGCUCUAAGCAGGUGAGGCGCAUGGAGGGCAUCAAGGCCAAUGAGGUAGAAAACCUCCUCCGUUCCAUCACCGCCGCGGGUGCUACCGUCAACGUCAGCACCAAGAUGGCGGCGCUCAGCAAUGACAUCGUGGCGCGGACAGUUUUCGGCGGCAAGUUCACACAGCAGGACGAGUAUCUCAGCGAACUGGACAAGGUCAUCAAGCUUAUUGGCGGCUUCUGCCUCGUCGACCUUUUCCCAUCCUCACGGCUGGUCCGGUGGCUAAGCAAUGGAGAGCGCCACAUGAGGAGGAGUUACGGCCGUAUCCAGCAUAUCAUCUCUAACAUCAUCGAGGGGCGCAAGGCGGCGCGAACAACCGACCGCCAUGCCUGCAGCACCGAUCAUGAGGACCUACUGGGCGUGCUACUCAGGCUGCAGGAAGAGAACUCGUUAUCCUUCCCUCUAACCACAGAGAUUAUCGGCGUCGUUAUCUUUGACAUUUUUGGAGCUGCCACCGAGACCACAGCAACCACAUUAGAGUGGGCUAUGUCAGAGCUGUUGAAUAACCCUGAGGCUAUGGCUAAGGCACAGCUAGAGGUCCGGGAAAUGCUAGGUCAAGAUCGACAUGUCAUCAAGAGUACCGACCUUAGUGAGCUGCGCUACAUGAGGAUGGUCAUCAAGGAGGUGUUUAGGUUGCAUCCUCCUGUUCCCCUCCUCAUCCCAAGAGAGACAAGAGAGGACUGUAAAAUCAUGGGCUAUGACAUGCCUAAAGGAACUAAUAUCUUUGUUAAUGUUUUUGCAAUUUCCCGGGAUCCUAAAUAUUGGGACAAUCCUGAAGAGUUCAAGCCAGAGAGGUUUCAGAACAACAAGGUGGAUUAUUAUGGGACACAUUUUGAAUUCACCCCUUUCGGGGCUGGGCGAAGGCAAUGCCCAGGGAUGUUGUUCGGCACGUCAACCGUGGAGAUGGUCUUGGCAAAUCUUCUCUACCACUUCGGCUGGGUGAUUCCCAACGGGCCUACUGCAGAGUCGGUGGACAUGUCUGAGAAUUUUGGUAUCACCUUAAGCAGAAAGUUUGACCUGCAGCUGAUAGCUAUUCCAUAUCCACGCUCCAAAGCUAUUUCCAUAUAG